Molecule: ribosomal RNA, 105 nt
Filed under: Caerostris darwini
Lineage: Eukaryota; Metazoa; Arthropoda; Arachnida; Araneae; Araneidae
Source: RNAcentral
AUAGCAUGCUGAAUAUACCGGUUCUCGUUAGAUCACCGAAGUUAAGCAUCAUUGGGCGCGGUCAGUACUUGGGUGGGUGACCACCUGGGAACACUGCGUGCCGUU